AUGACUGCUCCAAGAGAACGUGCAAGGUUGGAGUACCUUAAUUCGCAGGAGCCAGGAGAUGCAUCGCAGGCCAGUGCUUUUGAUAUUGUGGAUAGGCUGCUAGUAGAAGAUGACAUGGAAGCUUCUCAGACAAUAACCGUUGAGCAGAUAAGUGCGACAAAGUCACCUCCCACUUUAGGCUCAAAAGUAGCUCAGUUCUUGGCUAAAAGGGUUGACCAGAGUUACCCACUUGAGAAGGCAGCUGUUUUUGACUGGUUGGAUACUCCCAACCUCGAUGAUUGCAUAAGUGGUAACGUUUCCAGGGAAAAUCCAAGAGUUCAUGUCAAAAAUCGUUUGAACUCCCAGGGAUGUGGUGGCUAUGGAUCAGGUACCAGGGCUGGGGCCAUGCUAGAAUGUAUUGAUGAGGACUUGGGCAUGAACUAUCUGAAGAAACCAGAACCAGUUGGUGCUACUGAAGAUUCAUAUGCAGCAUAUGAUAUUGGGCCAAACACUCAAAUGGCAGCUGAAGCGAUGGAAGCACUGUUCAAUGGACCAACUGUCAGUUCUGAUGUCAGGGAGCAUGAACACCUGGAAAACACUUUGGGAAAAGAAAACAAAGUGGAUACAAUUUGCUCAGUAAACUUGCUAGUUCAAGAGCAAAAGCAAGCCUGCUUACCUCAGAGCUCAGGGGGAAUGACAUCGCAACUCAAGCAACUCAAGGUAGACCACAUAGAAAGACCAAGGGGUGAAAGUUCAAUCCCUUUGAUGAAUUGUCCCAGUAAGUCAAAAACAAGGAGGAAUGCAAAACAGAUGACCGGGAAAGCAAAAAGAAGCAUGGAGAGUCGGGUUUCAAGAGGAGCCAUAAAUGAUGAGGUGUCAGACGUAAUCAUGGGAUCUGGUACAGAGGGCUCAAAUAGUCCCUGUUUAUUAGGUAAAAAUGCUGUAAUCCACCCUAAAAGAAAGAGAACAUAUACAUUUACCUCAGGAAGCUCAAAAGUUGGGUUCAAGAAAGCUACCAGAUCAAAUGCAGACAGAGCCGAAACUACAGAAGUAACAGAGUUACCAAGAGCAAAACCAGCAAGCAUAUUUGAUCCUGAUACCAUAAAAGGCAUGAAAUUGACCCACAAGUCUUCUUCAGGUAAUCUUAAAGCAUCAGCUACAACAACUCGCAGCAAGGUGAAAGGAGUUCAGAAAGAAACUUCGGAUACCAAUCAGCUUGAAAGAACACUAAGCGCUGAACUGAAAAAACAAUCAACAUCUGAACAGAAAGUCAGUGACUCUUGUUUGGCGAAUAGAGUACCACUGAGAGAGUUAAGUAGCACAGAGCCCCAAUCUAAGGCACAUACAUCAAAGAAGCCACUGAAAAGAGGCCUUCUGAAAUCACCAGCUUCCAGGGAGCUUGCUAGUCUUUUUCGGAGUGAAGCAUCUCCGGUUCUGCAAUCAAGCAGGCGAAGAAAGAGAAAUAUGUCCACAGUCCGUGUUCUGUUCAGCCAAAGCAUGGACAGCGAAACAAUCAAAGAUCAAACAAAGAUAUUGAUGCACUUCGGAUUACCAGUGGCAACAACUAUUUCAGAGGCUACACACUUUGUUGCUGAAAAGUUUGCUCGUACAAAGAACAUGCUAGAAGCAAUGGCCAUGGGCAUACCUGUAGUCACACCAUCAUGGCUUGAAUGCUGUGGAGAAGCAAGGUGCUUCAUUGAUGAGAAAAAAUACAUAAUGAGGGAUACAAAGAAGGAAAAGGAGCUACGCUUCAGCAUGCCCGUCGCACUAAGCCAAGCCUGCAAAAAGCCACUGUUAGAGGGUAGAAGAGUACUAAUCACGCGAAAUGCUAAGCCUAGCAAGGAGCUUCUGAAAUGUUUAGUAGUGGCAGCUGGUGGCAAGCUGUUGGAGAGGAUCACAGUGUCUAUGAUGAAGAAUAAGAAUUUUGAAGGAGCCUUUGUAAUCUCUUGUGAACAAGACUGCAACAUCUGUUUACCGUUCAUUAAGAAUGGUUUGGGAGUGUUCGACUCGGAGCUUUUGCUGAAUGGUAUUGUCGUCCAGAAGCUAGAGUUUGAAAGGUACCGCCUUUUCCAUGUAAAAUGUGAAGCUUCUGCGAGGUCCGGGCCGCUAACCUGCAAUAUAAUGAACACUUCGUCCCGUAAAUACGAGCCGCGCGCUCCUGUAGUUACUGAUGUGAUCCCUUGA
Molecule: ribosomal RNA, 2163 nt
Filed under: Triticum aestivum (bread wheat)
Lineage: Eukaryota; Viridiplantae; Streptophyta; Magnoliopsida; Poales; Poaceae
Description: partial small subunit ribosomal RNA
Source: RNAcentral